UACGUAGGGUGCAAGCGUUGUCCGGAAUUAUUGGGCGUAAAGAGCUCGUAGGCGGUCAGUCGCGUCUGCUGUGAAAACUCGGGGCUUAACCGGGGAACUGCGUCUGAUACUGGAUGGCUUGAGAUUGGGAGAGGGAUGCGGAAUUCCAGGUGUAGCGGUGAAAUGCGUAGAUAUCGUGAGGAAGACCAGUGGCGAAGGCGGAUCUCUGGACAGCUCCUGACGCUGAGGCGCGAAGGCUAGGGGAGCAAACGGG
Molecule: ribosomal RNA, 253 nt
Filed under: uncultured bacterium
Lineage: Bacteria
Description: partial 16S ribosomal RNA
Rfam family: Bacterial small subunit ribosomal RNA
Source: RNAcentral